UUUCUUCUCGUCUGUCGCCAUGUGAGAUGUACCUUUCACUUUCCUCCAUGAUUGUGAGGCCUCCUUAGCCACAUGGAACUGAAAUGCUGGAGUCCUUCAUCCGAAUGGUAAAUGGCACUUGUGACAAAAAUCAAAGUAACUAAAAAAGAAUCUGGUUGAAACCUCAGUAACAGUUGGCCUGUCUACUGCCUCACACUAACAAGUGACCCCCACCUUUACAAGUGUCUGUAAUUCUCACUAGCAGUAUAUUAGAGGGCAAAAGAUUUGAACAGACACAUCAGAAAAGAAGACAUACAAAUGGCCGCUAAGCACUUGAAAGGAUUCUGAACACCAUUAGUCAUCAGUGAAAUGCAAAUUAAAGCCAUAAUGAAUGGCGCUAUACAUUUUCAGAAUGGCAAGGAUUGAAGACCGAAAAAAAUCAAGCGUUGAGGAGAGUGACAAAUGGGGAGACAGCCGUGGUGCAUGAUCGCCGAAUAAAUACCAUGUGAGGAUACAGCAAGAAGGUGGCCAUCUACAAGCCAAGGAGACAGGCCUCAGAAGAAACCAACCCUUCUUACACCCUGGACUCAGACUUCUAAUCUCCAGAACUUGUUAAUGCACAAGGUCUUGUGUUGAAAAUGUAGAGCCACGAGAUAAAAGCAGCUUGGAUGGCUGACUCAUAUACAAGGACAACUGCCUGAGAGUCACCAGGGCUAUCAAGAAGUUUGCAGAAACAAGAAAUAAACUUUUACUGUUUUAAACUUUUGUGAAUUUUGGGUUUUGUUUAUCACCAAAUAAACCUAGUCUAUUCUGAUUGUUAUAAGUGGUUAAUUUGGGAAGUCAGAUAUAUUUAAAAUUGGCUUACUGCUGUAACAUAUACAGUCCAAAUUACAUAAUGGCUCAAAUGCAAUAGAAGUCUUUUUUUUUUUUGCUCACAUAUCACUUCACUGAGAUUCUGCAUUAAUUGUAAUGAUGAGGGUGAGGGUGUCUUAUAUCAUACAGUUGUUCAGCAACCCAGGAUGACCAACUUUGUAAUAUUUUUUCCCACUGGCUUCUAAAGUUCUCAUAGAUAGUAAAAUUCAUUUGGAAGAAGGAGAAACAGCAUGGAGGAUUGCAGAUGGAGAUUUUUAUGGGAAGGCUUGGAGGUUUGGAGGUUACACAUUACUACUUUUACUUGUUGGCUAGGAAACUAUCACGUGGUCACACCUAAGUGCCAGUGAGUCUGACAAUGUGGCAAUUUGGUUGCGGGCCAGGGGUAAGAGGCAAUAAAUUUUGCUCAAUAAUUAUCAGUUUUUGCCACAGAUGGAGGGACUUUUCAUUGUAUAACUAGUUGUUACUGUUUGAAUUUAAAACAGGAAAAUAUCAUUUUCAAAUAAAAACACAAAAGUGGCACAAAAAA
This 1378-nucleotide long non-coding RNA is filed under the name Homo sapiens (human). RNAcentral's name for it is "PYDC2 antisense RNA 1". Lineage: Eukaryota; Metazoa; Chordata; Mammalia; Primates; Hominidae. The record is from RNAcentral.